This 495-nucleotide ribosomal RNA is filed under the name uncultured bacterium. Its description in RNAcentral is "partial 16S ribosomal RNA". It matches the Rfam family "Bacterial small subunit ribosomal RNA", at positions 30 to 507 of the family's 1533-position model. The record is from RNAcentral.
UGAACGCUGGCGGCGUGCCUCAUACAUGCAAGUCGAGCGAACAGACGCGGAGCUUGCUCCUCUGACGUUAGCGGCGGACGGGUGAGUAACACGUGGAUAACCUACCUAUAAGACUGGGAUAACUUCGGGAAACCGGAGCUAAUACCGGAUAAUAUAUUGAACCGCAUGGUUCCAUAGUGAAAGACGGUUUUGCUGUCACUUAUAGAUGGAUCCGCGCCGCAUUAGCUAGUUGGUAAGGUAACGGCUUACCAAGGCAACGAUGCGUAGCCGACCUGAGAGGGUGAUCGGCCACACUGGAACUGAGACACGGUCCAGACUCCUACGGGAGGCAGCAGUAGGGAAUCUUCCGCAAUGGGCGAAAGCCUGACGGAGCAACGCCGCGUGAGUGAUGAAGGUCUUCGGAUCGUAAAACUCUGUUAUUAGGGAAGAACAAAUGUGUAAGUAACUAUGCACGUCUUGACGGUACCUAAUCAGAAAGCCACGGCUAACUACGUG